AUGAGGACGAAGUGACUGACACCACGCUUCCAGGAAAAGCCACUAAGCUUCAGCUUAAGAAAAACCGUACCGCAAACCGACACAGGUAGGCAGGGUGAGAAUCCCAAGGCGCUUGAGAGAACUCGGGUGAAGGAACUAGGCAAAAUGGCACCGUAACUUCGGGAGAAGGUGCGCCCUUUGGUGUGGUCACGUGCGUGACUGAGCAUCGAAGGGUCGCAGUAACCUGGCCGCUGCGACUGUUUAUCAAAAACACAGCACUCUGCAAACACGAAAGUGGACGUAUAGGGUGUGACGCCUGCCCGGUGCUGGAAGGUUAAUUGAUGGGGUCAGCCGCAAGGCGAAGCUCUUGAUCGAAGCCCCAGUAAACGGCGGCCGUAACAAUAACGGUCCUAAGGUAGCGAAAUUCCUUGUCGGGUAAGUUCCGACCUGCACGAAUGGCGUAACGACAGCGGCGCUGUCUCCACCCGAGACUCAGUGAAAUUGAAAUCGCUGUGAAGAUGCAGCGUUCCCGCGGCAAGACGGAAAGACCCCGUGAACCUUUACUAUAGCUUUACACUGAACGUUGAGUUCUUCUGUGUAGGAUAGGUGGGAGGCUAUGAAACCAGGACGCUAGUUCUGGUGGAGCCAUCCUUGAAAUACCACCCUGAAGUGCUUGACGUUCUAACCUAGGCCCGUAAUCCGGGUCAGGGACCGUGUAUGGUGGGUAGUUUGACUGGGGCGGUCUCCUCCCAAAGAGUAACGGAGGAGCACGAAGGUACGCUCAGCGCGGUCGGACAUCGCGCACUGUGUGCAAAGGCAUAAGCGUGCUUGACUGCGAGAUCGACGGAUCAAGCAGGUACGAAAGUAGGUCUUAGUGAUCCGGUGGUUCUGUAUGGAAGGGCCAUCGCUCAACGGAUAAAAGGUACUCCGGGGAUAACAGGCUGAUACCGCCCAAGAGUUCAUAUCGACGGCGGUGUUUGGCACCUCGAUGUCGGCUCAUCACAUCCUGGGGCUGUAGCCGGUCCCAAGGGUAUGGCUGUUCGCCAUUUAAAGUGGUACGCGAGCUGGGUUCAGAACGUCGUGAGACAGUUCGGUCCCUAUCUGUCGUGGGCGUUGGAGAUUUGAGGGGGGCUGCUCCUAGUACGAGAGGACCGGAGUGGACGUUCCGCUGGUGUUCGGGUUGUCAUGCCCAUGGCAUUGCCCGGUAGCUACGAACGGAAGUGAUAACCGCUGAAAGCAUCUAAGCGGGAAGCACGCCCCAAGAUGAGAUCUCCCGAGAGCUUGACUCUCCUAAAGGCACCAUCAAGACUAGGUGGUUGAUAGGUCAGGUGUGGAAGCGCAGCAAUGCGUUGAGCUAACUGAUACUAAUGAGCCGUGAGGCUUGAUC
RNAcentral lists this ribosomal RNA (1366 nucleotides) under metagenome. Its description in RNAcentral is "bacterial LSU rRNA". It matches the Rfam family "Bacterial large subunit ribosomal RNA", at positions 1579 to 2925 of the family's 2925-position model. The record is from RNAcentral.